CCUACGGGAGGCAGCAGUGGGGAAUUUUGGACAAUGGGCGCAAGUCUGAUCCAGCCAUGCCGCGUGUGGGAAGAAGGCCUUCGGGUUGUAAACCACUUUUGUCAGGGAAGAAACGGUUUGUCCUAAUACGGCGGACUAAUGACGGUACCUGAAGAAUAAGCACCGGCUAACUACGUGCCAGCAGCCGCGGUAAUACGUAGGGUGCAAGCGUUAAUCGGAAUUACUGGGCGUAAAGCGUGCGCAGGCGGCUUUGCAAGACAGAUGUGAAAUCCCCGGGCUCAACCUGGGAACUGCAUUUGUGACUGCAUGGCUAGAGUACGGUAGAGGGGGAUGGAAUUCCGCGUGUAGCAGUGAAAUGCGUAGAUAUGCGGAGGAACACCGAUGGCGAAGGCAAUCCCCUGGACCUGUACUGACGCUCAUGCACGAAAGCGUGGGGAGCAAACAGGAUUAGAUACCCUGGUAGUCCACGCCCUAAACGAUGUCACUGGUUGUGGACGGCUUGCUGUUCAGUAACGAGCUAACGCGUGAGUAGACGCCGUGGAGGUACGGCCGCGAGUAGAACGUACGAAGAGAGUUAGACGGCGUGAGACGUAGCCGACGGACGACGACGAGGGGAGGUUAGG
RNAcentral lists this ribosomal RNA (623 nucleotides) under uncultured bacterium. RNAcentral describes it as "bacterial SSU rRNA". The stretch from base 1 to 537 matches the Rfam family "Bacterial small subunit ribosomal RNA", at positions 338 to 873 of the family's 1533-position model. The record is from RNAcentral.